AAGCGCGUUUGGAAGACAUGAGAGGAUGCAGUUCCUGGGCUCCUGACAUCCCACCAAGGGCGUCCAGCUGGGGGGUCCCCGCUCCUUCCGCUGUCUCUGCCUUCUAGCGACCACAGUGCCUUCAGUCUGAAGCUCCACCGCAGGGACCGCUCACGUCACUCCCUCAGCCUGACCAGACAGCCUGCUUCAGGCCCCCACUGCUGUUACUGUCUCAGAUCUACAUUUGUAUUUGUAUUUGUAUUUGUAUUUGUAUUUGUAUUUGUAUUUGUAUGAGGCCUUAUCUUCCCAACUGGAAUGUAAACCCUUUGCAAACUCUGUGCUCCCCCUCCCUCCUCCCCGCACUGCCCAGCACAGACGGAACCAGUAAAGAGGCUGAAUUACAGCAUGAUGUAACAAACAGAGGGGAGGAGCGAGGAUGGGGCGGAGGAGGCUCUGCCUCUGGGGCAUGCCCACGCCGCGUGCUCCUGGUUCCCUCCUUGCCCUCCACGCAGUGCGUGGGGCUGCAGUGGGUCCUGGAGGAGGAGGGAGGUGGCUCUGGAGGCCGCGUGCUCCCGGCGCCCCUCACGGAGCAGAGCGAGGCAGAGCACGCUUCCUUCUGCGUGUUCCGCACAGUCUUGAGGACCACUAGGGGACGUUGACGCCGUGACUCGAGCAGUGAUCCUCCUGGUAGAGACAGAAAAAGGUGUCUAUCUAACUGUUUGCCUGCUAAUCGGACCCGUGAGCCAGGUGUCACUCAGACUUCGUCACCUCAGCACUCUGCCUCAUCACGGCUGACUCUGCACCGUGGGAUCCACGGUUGGAAGGACCACUGGGCGUCAUCUGCAGGACACAGAGCGGGGACGGCUGCAGGCAGCGCGAGUGUGGACGAGCUGGAAUCGCCCUCUGAAGUCGGCAGUGUCCAACUCCAGGAGCGUGUUUGCACCGUGUCCCUGUGGCCAUCCACAAGCCCCCGGCUCGGCCGGGCGUUUUUUCAGGGCUCUGGAAUGAGUCCUUAUAUAGGAUCCAUUCGAAGCCAUAAGCCUGAUUGCAGGGCGCAGCCAACAUCUGGAGCAGCGGGAGAUGAUCGGACAGCAUUGCGAAACAUAAAAUAUGAAACUUAUUAACUUUUUCCUGUGUUAAAAGUAUUUUAAAUGGAAGCAAUCUGAUAGUGCAUUGAGCAAAACUUUAUCACCCAGAAAAGUUAAGAAAAAGAAGGAGAGUUCAGUCAUUUUAGGGUUUAUUUUAUUUCUUUUUGCCUGAGUUGCACUUUUGCCAAUUUUAGAACAUCAUUACCUUGCAUAAUGGAUUUUGCUUUAAAAGCAUUCUCACACCUGUUUGCCUUUGCAUAAGGACUAAUGUCACGUUGAGCCCAAGAAAAACAAGCCAUAAAUCAAUGUAUUAACGAGCAAGGAAAUUCAAGGUGCGGAGGAGUGACUGUCAUUCCUCAGGUGCAUGGGCACGAUCUUGCAGUCUCCUGGCAGCUCCACCCAUAGGCGUGCCGUGUGCACACGUGAAAGAGCUUUCCUCGGAAUUGCUCUAGCAGCUAAGGAGCAAAAGGAAAUCCUAACCAGAGCUGUGACAUCCCCCCAAGUCUGUAUUUCCCUGUCAUGAUGGCGCUGCUGGAAAGGGGCUGCAAUGCAAGAGACCUAAGGAGAUCUGCCCUCGGAUUGGCCCAGCCACCGCUCCUCCCAUUAUUGAAACCCGAGUCGCAGCCGUAAAUAUCCUCAAGUCAAUCUCUAAGUAUAAAAACAUCCCAGAAAUGUUGCCUGCGCACAAGCAAUUUCCCCCAAGAAAGGGAAUCUCGUAGAAAGUGGGGGAAGACAAAGGGCCAAUUUGGAAGAGAUACAAAUUGACUAUGAACAUGAUUUCUUUAAUUAAAUGAGAAAGCAUUAAAUCUUCUUUAGGACAAAAAUACCAAAAGUCUAUGUAUUCAGCAAACACAAUGAAUCAGUAAAUAGUUUUUUCAAGCCUUCGAGGUUAGUGAAAUUGACCUACCGUUUUAGCUAAAACAUAUCUUUGGCUUCCUAAUGUUGCACAACCUUUAGAAAGCUUAGAAGGGAAUAUUCCAGCUCUGGGAAGGCCAACGCCUUCCUGACGCCUAAUGUCAAACUUUAAGCCCAUGCAAAUGUGCAUCUGAGUCGAAGAAGAUACCAAGAUCGCAGACCAGGCACAGGCCGGGUGCCAGACGCCCUGCAGAUCCUGUUAGGAGGGUCUGUGUAAAUUAUCUCCUCCACUCCCCAAAGGAACCGUGCCAAAUAUGUCUGACAGUGUCCAUUUUACAGAUGCAGAAAUGGAGGCUCAAAGAGGCCAAGUAAUUUGCCCAAGAUGACAGGGACAGGAAGCAGCACAGAUGCAAUUCUAACCCAAGUCCUUAACUCCAACCACUACCACAACGGUCUUCCUCAAAAUAGUAAGGAACUACACAUUCAUGGCAAAUUGCUUUUUUAUUCAUGAAAUAAAUUGCCAUUAUUAUGUUCACCUUUUGGAAAAAAGUUAAGAACAAGAGACUCAAACAUCGACAUUUUCUGCUCCUAUGUUGAAUGGCCAGGAACUAUGUAAAUGAGAGGGCUGGGCCACCCUGGUUUUAUUAUCAUGUUUACCACCUGCUGCCGCGUACAGAGCGCUCUGCCCUACGUCUUAGCGUGGAUUGCUAGAAGAAUCCUUUCAAGUUGUAUACAGCAGGUAUGAGUCAUUUUCUCAUUUUGCAAAUGAGGAAACUUCGGUUUAGACAAAUUAAAUGACUCACCUAAGAUCAGGCAGUAGGAAUCUAAACCUAGAGCACCAUACUUGAAACAAUGAUUUUUAAAGAAAAUUAAACCUUGAGGACGCGACUCCCAAAGUCGUCUCAGUUACGUCCAUUAUAAAAGUCUAUUCAUAAAUUCACGUUUUCUAAGGAUUUUUGGAAAAUUUGUGGGGAAAAUUCUCAUCUGAUGCUUCCGUCCCACAAAAGAAUUAUUUUUACAUAAUCAUUUAUCCUUUAAAAGGGAAACAUUCAUACUAUUGACGGACUUAAGGUGUGAAGACCUGGCCACAAGCCACAGUUAACCGAAGGACGAUUCCUCCCGCAGGACUGUGCAGGCUCCGAGGGGUUCUGUCAUUUCUGUCAUCCCUGAGUGGGCUUCUCAAUAGCACGUGGGAUAAAUAACCUUUCCUGCAGAAGAAGGUGGGUUCACAGGGAUAUUCAGCUGCGUCACUGACACCAGUUGAUUCAUUUUAAGUCAAGAAGCAUCUGCUGGUCUUCCCCUGCCAGCGUGGUGUGAGGCAUCCUUCAUCCUGGUUGCACCUGCCAUGUGCAGGCUCUUUGGGACUCUGGAGCACACUUGUCCUGUCUCAGGACAGCCCUGCCCAGCUCCUCCCAUGGGACAGGAUCUGAACCAGGUCUCCUCACAGAUCCUGGCUCAGGGGGUGGGAGAUGGCAUGUCCAGGUGGCAGGUGGGAGCUGGAGUCCAGGCGGGACAAUGGGACCCAGGCUGUCCAACAGGAGAACUAGCCUGUGGCCAUGUGGGCAAUGUGGGGCCGGUGGGUGCAGGGCAAUGCUGUGUUAGUCUGCUCCAGCUGCCAUGACAAAUGCCACGGAUGGGAGACCUGAACAACAGACACUGAUUUCUCACAAUUCUAGGGGAUGGAAGCCCAAGGUCACGGUGUUGGCUGGUUUGGUUUCUGGCGAAGCCUCUUCCCUCUGUUUGUUGACGCCGCCUUCUCCCCGUGUCCUCAUGUGGCCUUCCUGCUGUGCGUGCAAGUGGAAAGGGAAAGAGAGAGCUCUGGGGUCGCCUCCUCCUCUUCUCAGGACACCAGUCUGACCAGAUCAGGGCCCCACCCUUAUGACUUCAUUUAAGCUUAAUCACCUCCCUGAAGGCCCCACCUCCAAAUGCAGCCACAGUGGGGGGUUAGGGCUUCAACAUGGGAAUUUCAGGGGGGCACAGCAUUCAGGCCAGAGCAAAUUGCAUCCAGAACCCGCACCAUUCCUUACUCACUUAGUGGACAGGGCUCUGGCCCUACCAAGGGCACUGGCUGGGGCUAGGUGGACACUAAUCCAGGCCUGUUCUAGAAAGACUCCACCCCACGGGGGAAACGGCCCCAAGCUGGGCCUAGACGGAGGCUGUCCCCGUAGUCUGCCGGGCAGGGGCACCACGUUCCAGGGUUUGUCCUUCCAGAAACUUGAUUGUGGCUCUGUCAGAUGUGCCAAGCCUACCCCAAACCAACCAGACCCACUGACAUAUUAACAUACGGGCAACACAUAUUUAUGGAACAUAUCCACUUGCCAGGUGUCGCUCUAGGAAAAUGGAAGUGCACAGAACCGACAAAAUUCCCUAUUACCGGAGCAUAUUACAUCCCAGACAGAGAACGUGAUUAUCCCAUGUCGGCGAUGCUCAGGUUUACACCCGCUGGACUCUCUCCCCUGGAAGGGCCCUGGGACGGGGGGGGGGGUUAAGAAUCAGCUGGGUCUUGUUGCCCCAAUUCAGAGAAAAGAGUAGCACUAAGUAGUCUGGGAGGGAAUUUCCAGGGAGAAUCAGGAUGGAGCCCACCUCCUCACUGACCAGACGCUCUUGUCUCUCUCUAUUUACCAGUCUCGGGGCAGUCAAGCCUCCCUGGGCUGGACCCUUGUCACUCGGCUUGUGUUUGCACAUUUCUCAAAUGUCCUCAGCACACACGAACCACGUACAGGGCGGAUCACUUCUACAGACCCGCUAUAUGCCCAUCUGUGAACUUGUCUCACUGCCGGAAACUAACCGAAUACCACGCCUGGUUAGAUGGCCAGCAUCCUCUGAUGCUCUGCCUGGAAGGGGCGCGCAGGUGUCAGGAACAAACAAGGGCCGUAACUCGAAUCUGGGUCAUUUGUGCAGGGCUGGACUAGAGCAGGGGGGUAGGCGCUGACCCCAGAGGGUGGCACUGUCUCAAGCUAGAGCUGGCCUUUGCUCCAGGAUGAGACGGAGCCUGCUGGGGUUCGGCAGCCCCUGCCUGAGAUGACAUUCAUGAUGUCACCAAGGGAAGGGGAUUCCAAUGCAUUCUUUCUCAAUCCUCAAAGCCUGAAGUCGCACCUUUGGAGAGAAAAGGUCUAGAAUUUUUACACACAUCUCAUUCUCUACAGGGUAGAAUGCUAAGAAAAAUGGCAAGAAAUUGCACAUUGGAGGCAACGAUAAUGCCUUAUAAAGAAGACUUUUUUUAAAUGCUUUUUUUAAGGGGAGCACUAACGCGGCUUUGGAUACCACCCCCACCCUUGCCCCUUCCUCCCCAGGUCCGUUGUCAGAAGAGGACAGUGCACUAAUAAGAGCAUGGGAGCCUCAUAGAGCAAGGCUCGCCAAAAAAGGGAAGAAAAGAAAAGGAGCAGAUUCACAGCUGAAUCCUUACAAAAAUAAACGAAACGGAGCAAUUGGACACACAACCACAACCAUCGCUGCCUCUCCACCUGAGGAGGCAGCCACAUCUUUGAACCUUCCUGUGUCUGUCCAAUUAACCGUGACAAUUAGGAGAACAGAUGCCGAGGUGCACACCGCGAGCUUGCCUCUUCAUUUCCGGUGAGGAAGCGCGCACGUGCUAGAGAGAUGGGCGUGAAUCACAUCAGGCGGGGAAUCGUUUCUGUAGCACGAUCUUG
Molecule: long non-coding RNA, 5572 nt
Filed under: Equus caballus (horse)
Lineage: Eukaryota; Metazoa; Chordata; Mammalia; Perissodactyla; Equidae
Description: lncRNA (ENSECAG00000050936.1)
Source: RNAcentral